This 282-nucleotide ribosomal RNA is filed under the name uncultured bacterium. Its description in RNAcentral is "partial 16S ribosomal RNA". It matches the Rfam family "Bacterial small subunit ribosomal RNA", at positions 1102 to 1382 of the family's 1533-position model. The record is from RNAcentral.
CCCUUAUCUUAUGUUGCCAGCGCGUAAUGGCGGGGACUCGUGAGAGACUGCCGGGGUCAACUCGGAGGAAGGUGGGGACGACGUCAAGUCAUCAUGCCCCUUAUGUCCAGGGCUUCACACAUGCUACAAUGGCCGGUACAGAGGGCUGCGAUACCGCGAGGUGGAGCGAAUCCCUUAAAGCCGGUCUCAGUUCGGAUCGGGGUCUGCAACUCGACCCCGUGAAGUUGGAGUCGCUAGUAAUCGCAGAUCAGCAACGCUGCGGUGAAUACGUUCCCGGGCCUU